UACAGAGGUCCCAAGCGUUGUUCGGAUUCACUGGGCGUAAAGGGUGCGUAGGUGGCGAGGUAAGUCGGAUGUGAAAGCUCGGAGCUCAACUCCGAAAUAGCAUUGGAAACUACCUUGCUCGAGGGUUGGAGGGGGGACUGGAAUGCUUGGUGUAGCAGUGAAAUGCGUAGAUAUCAAGCGGAACACCAGUGGCGAAGGCGAGUCCCUGGACAGUUCCUGACACUGAGGCACGAAGGCCAGGGGAGCAAACGGG
This 253-nucleotide ribosomal RNA is filed under the name uncultured bacterium. RNAcentral's name for it is "partial 16S ribosomal RNA". It matches the Rfam family "Bacterial small subunit ribosomal RNA", at positions 524 to 776 of the family's 1533-position model. The record is from RNAcentral.